Molecule: long non-coding RNA, 1967 nt
Organism: Triticum aestivum (bread wheat)
Lineage: Eukaryota; Viridiplantae; Streptophyta; Magnoliopsida; Poales; Poaceae
Exons: 5
Source: RefSeq, a predicted model, not a curated record
GUCGCACUCCAGAUCCCGCGUUUGCGGCAUGCAUGGCACCACCUUGACACAGAGUGAGCUUUCUUCUUCACUAACCAACCCAUUACAGAAUAAAUUAGAGUAACACGUAUGUGCAGGUUGCCAGUUUAGAAUUCAGUGAGUGCUGGUGAUGUGCUUGAAGAUGAGACCUCAUUGGGAGUCUGAAAGUGUGUCUCCCUUGGCAUAAGCACCAUGGGAAACAGAGACAACCGGCUCCGUCCUGCUCUAGCGUCGCCGUCCGUUGACCCAACGAACAAGAAACGCAUCAACAGGAGAAGCACGGCACAUAUAUUUAAUGUUGUUGCAAUUGGUAAGAUAAUAGGAUGCAACACUUAUUUUACCAGUUCUAAAGCAUGACUAAGUAUGGAAAGACCAGAGGCAGGUGUUAUUUUCUCUUCUAAACUUCUUUUGCUUGUCUAUCUCCCUAUUGGUAUGCAGGUCUUUAAUUGAUAGUUUAUUAUAUAGAGUUUGUUUUAUAUAGAGUUUAUUAUAUAAAGUGAUCUCAAGGCGUUGGGCAUCCUGAUGGUAAGUACAUUACACAACAGGCAUUUCUUGGCUCCUCACAUCCUUCAUCCAAGAUUAAUCUUAGUAUGGUCUGGCUAUACUUUACAUAAACUGUAUACUCAACUGUUAAACAAGUACACAGAAUGAUAGAAGUACUUAGAAUGCAUCAUUUUGCUCAGGAACUGGACGGAACUUGCUUUACAGAAGUACUGCAUGCUCUUCUAUUUUUUAUCGGACGAUAUGGCACAUAAGUUAAUGCCAAAUUCAGUGUAAAGUAAUUCUUUUGUAAGUCGGCAUCCUUAUUUUUGCAUAUGUAUAUUUUGAUUCGAGGCGCAAAGGUCAAGCUUACGGUGCAUGUUCUUUUAGGGCCCUAGGAAGAAGAGUACCUUUUCCUUGGAAUCGAGAGCGUAGGGCAAUGGCCAUGGGGUACCAUGUUGAAAAGUAGGGAGAUGUGGUAGUUUUUUUUUUUUUUGCUCAUCUGAAGUUCGGCAUAUUUUAUUGGCAUGUCUUGUAAGGCUAAAGAUAAAACAAUGUGGGGUCUCUUUUAUUGGCAUGUUUCUGUCUUGGUAAGCAUGCAUCAAACAGGCCUAGGUUGGUUAGAACAAGGUGUGGCGGUCAAGAGAUGAUGCUGUAAGAUUAUUAGACUGCUGUUAUUUCUAGUCUGCAUGCAUUUCUGGCCGGACCAGCUGGUUAACUGAUGCGGCACUGUGUCAGCGAAACUGGGGCAAUAUUUUCAAUUUUUCAUUGUUGUAUACUAUUGUUACACAUACGAUUUCAUAGUUUGGCAAGUAUCACAGAAUUUGUGGUUAAGUCAUUUGUGAAUAAUGUUUAGUUUCCCGCUUGGCAUGUUUCUUUACAUCAAUCAAUCAGAUUCACCGCCGUUGGCCAGAGUUGCGCCUAAUUCAUACUGAUGUUAAGGAUAAACUCUCUGUUUUCUAAUAGGUCAGACUGGAUUCUAUGUUCUGUCCAUGCCCUGUUCACUGGCAUUGCCUCUUGAUUCCCCUCUUAAAGUAGAAGAUCCACACUAAGCAUAGCAAGUCCACUAGAGGAGCAAAUGUUGUUUAUCACCGCAUCUCUUCUCAUGUUGACAAGCAAGCCCGAUAUCUAUGAAGGCACUGUACAAGGCGGCGACGGCGUACCCGCUCAGUACCUGCAGCCCUUGGUAGGACAGGAAAAGAUGCUGAGCUUCUCGGCCUUGACGACGUCCUCGUGCCUCUCUCUAAAAUGGCAGAUCUGUUUUGUUUCUCUGGUGGGACUGCAGUUCUUCCGAAGCUUUGCUUUUCGAUAUGACAUGUUUAUACUUUAGUUAUGCUUCUCAAGCAGCAUUUGAAUGGUUCUCAGACUACUUUCUCUUGUGAUCGCCUUAGCGAUGAGGAGAUUCGAGUGCAUCUUAAUUAUUGACACCUCAUUCUAUGACAAGCUCGGCAAGAAAGGCGGCAGCUGAC